This 641-nucleotide ribosomal RNA is filed under the name Halarcobacter bivalviorum. RNAcentral describes it as "bacterial SSU rRNA". It matches the Rfam family "Bacterial small subunit ribosomal RNA", at positions 66 to 719 of the family's 1533-position model. Lineage: Bacteria; Pseudomonadati; Campylobacterota; Epsilonproteobacteria; Campylobacterales; Arcobacteraceae. The record is from RNAcentral.
ACGAGAACGGGUUUAGUUUACUAAACUGUCAGCUAAGUGGCGCACGGGUGAGUAAUGUAUAGUUAACCUGCCCUCUAGAAAGGAAUAACAGUUGGAAACGACUGCUAAUGCCCUAUAUGCCCAUAAUACAUAAGUAUGCUGGGGAAACGCUUUAGUGCUAGAGGAUGGGACUGUAUGGUAUCAGAUAGUUGGUGAGGUAAUGGCUCACCAAGUCAAUGACGCCUAACUGGUUUGAGAGGAUGAUCAGUCACACUGGAACUGAGACACGGUCCAGACUCCUACGGGAGGCAGCAGUGGGGAAUAUUGCACAAUGGAGGAAACUCUGAUGCAGCAACGCCGCGUGGAGGAUGACACUUUUCGGAGCGUAAACUCCUUUUAUAUAGGAAGAUAAUGACGGUACUAUAUGAAUAAGCACCGGCUAACUCCGUGCCAGCAGCCGCGGUAAUACGGAGGGUGCAAGCGUUACUCGGAAUCACUGGGCGUAAAGAGCGUGUAGGCGGGUUAUUAAGUCAGAAGUGAAAUCCUAUGGCUCAACCAUAGAACUGCUUUUGAAACUGGUAACCUAGAGUAUGGGAGAGGUAGAUGGAAUUUCUGGUGUAGGGGUAAAAUCCGUAGAGAUCAGAAGGAAUACCGAUUGCGAA